Molecule: RNase P RNA, 365 nt
Filed under: Poriferisphaera corsica
Lineage: Bacteria; Pseudomonadati; Planctomycetota; Phycisphaerae; Phycisphaerales; Phycisphaeraceae
Description: Planctomycetes bacterium KS4 RNaseP_bact_b
Rfam family: Bacterial RNase P class A
About the family: Ribonuclease P (RNase P) is a ubiquitous endoribonuclease, found in archaea, bacteria and eukarya as well as chloroplasts and mitochondria. Its best characterised activity is the generation of mature 5'-ends of tRNAs by cleaving the 5'-leader elements of precursor-tRNAs. Cellular RNase Ps are ribonucleoproteins.
Source: RNAcentral
CCUGCCGGGCGGCCGCGUGCAUGUUCGCAUGUACGAGGAAAGUCCGAGCUCGAUAGGACAUCGGUGGUGGGUAACACCCACCCGCAUGGUUGGCGACGAUCAUGCGAGGGAUAGCGCCACAGAAAUAAUACCGCCUUGCUUUGCAAGGUAAGGGUGAAAUGGUGCGGUAAGAGCGCACCGCUGAUCUGGUGACAGAUUAGGCAUGGCAAGCCCCACCGCGUGCAAGACCAAGCAGUCUCCAGUUGCUCCGCAACGCGCUCUGUCCGGGCGUAAUGGGGACGGGUAGGUUGCUUGAGCCUGCUGGCAACAGCAGGCCUAGAGAAAUGGUCGCCACCCUCAACGGGUACAGAACUCGGCUUACAAGC